This is a long non-coding RNA of Lates calcarifer (barramundi perch), 4078 nucleotides long. RefSeq lists it as uncharacterized. The transcript is spliced from 9 exons. NCBI's taxonomy places the organism in Eukaryota, Metazoa, Chordata, Actinopteri, Centropomidae. The record is from RefSeq and is a predicted model, not a curated record.
AUGGACCAUAAUGAAAAUAAUAUAAAGACUUCAGAUCUUCACUUGAUAGAAAAAUUUAAAUUUAAAAGUUUUACGUUUUUCUUUCUCGUCCAGCAAAUGAAAUUCUGCAACAAAAGUCCAAUAAAAGGAUGAAUCACUGACAGACAGUAGAAAAUCUCCUUUACUCUCAGUCCAAACUGCAGCCAGAGUCCAUGAGGUAAAAACUCCAACAGGACUGAGGAUACAGUGUUAAACAAACCAGAGACAGUUUGUGGUUUUACAUCUGAAUUAAAAGUGUUUAUUACAUGUGGUCUAAAUUAAUAUUUGAACCUGUCAACUUAAAGUUUAAGUCAAAUAGUAUAUUGUGACUCAGAGUAAACACAGUGAAUAUGACAUGAAGUUAAUUCAGUUUUAUCCUUCUGACUGUAAUAAUGUGUUUGAUUGUAUGUUUACUUCACUGCAGCCUCUGACAGAUUUGAUCGACGUGUAAUGUCGUUUGCAGUGGACCUCACCCUUCUCCCUAAGACAGCUUCUUAUGCUUUCUGGUUCUGAACAAUUAGUGGUGAGUUAUUUCUCAGGUACCCGUUGUUACUGGAGCUCAGGCUCAUAGCUGCCAUAGUUUGCUUAUGCAUCAUGAUCUGGCACUGGCUCAGCAGUUACUGUCUAAUAUUUGUUCAUGAGCUUUUUAUCUCCCUGUUUGUGCUUGUGGAUUAAAAAUACAGCUUAUGCUGCUGAAAAGUGACCAUACCGUCAACAUGUGUGAUUAAAAACCUUUAAUAACACGUCGAUGUGCUUCAGCCACUUCAAUGAGCCUCAGUUGUGACAAGAAAACAAACUUUCACUCUUUUUAAAAACAACAUAUUGACUGACAGAGAAGACAAAUCUUUGAUCACUUGUUUUGUUCUAAUCAUUAUUAUAUAUGUAUGAAAGACACAUGAAAUAAACCCAUAUAGAAUGAUCAGACGACUCCUCAGUUCCCCUCAGAACCUCUGCAGAGCCUUUUAGCACCUUUCAGCUCAUUGCUCAGCUUUUCUGCAGCUUUGGUGGUUUUGCUUCUUAUCAGUUUGAUUUCCAACCACAGAGGCUGCAAAAACACAGAUAAAUCCACUGAUGGUGCAGCUAAAGAGCCAGAUAUUUCCCCCAGCGAGUGGAGGAGACCAAAGUUUAGCUAAAAUAUUGGAUUUACAGUCACCAGAUGGAAACAAACACAAAUCAAAAUCAAUGCUAAUGUUCUUCUUUAACUACAGGAUGUGUAAAUAACUGUUUGCUUACAUCAGCCUAUCAAAUUUAUGAGGUGAUAAUAAAUAAAUGUUGUGUUCACUGCUUGUUAUGCUGCUUUCAAGUGUCCAGAAAAUUAAUUUUAUGUGGAUUUUAGACAAAAUAACAACAAAUAAAACGAAUAAAAUAAUAACAUUUCUUUCGUGAGAAGCUGUUGUAACUCAGAGGUGAAGAAAUCAAUGCACAGAUGCAUUAAUAUAACUGCACUUUAGUUACCUUAAAGUUAAAAUACAGUUCAGCCUCUGUGUUCUCAUGCAGCCACUUCAGCGUUCACUUGAAGGCUAUAUAAGGGUUUUUGAUUGUGCUGCUGCCUGAGCUGUAAACAGAGCCCCACCUCUUCCUGUUGAAGUGUACUUGGGUUUAGCAUCAGUGAGUAUACGUUAGGGCCUCCGCAGCCAAGGGCCCUGGAGCCAUGCACUGCUGCCGCCAUGAGAGGCCUCCACCUGCCCAUCACAGUGCCGUGUGGAGACGCAAACGGUGGCUGGAGGCUGUGGCAGCUGCACAGGAGAGCAGGGCUGCAGCCAAGGCAAAUGAAGGGCUCUUCACUUUGCGUCUCACAUAUACUCCUGACUGUGCCAGAGAGAAACGGCUCUCUCCAAACAAAGACAAACAAAUGAGACAUUUGAAUUUGAACACUCCACUUUAACCAUUUGGUGGCUGCAGGUAGACAGGUGGCAGGUGAUAGGCACUGAUAGAAGAUAAGAAGCUCUUUAACAGAAGCCGAGACACAGAAGGACAAAGAUCAUGCUUUGUGCUUUGUAUUGUGUAUUAAUGAACAGACAACUGGCAAAAAAAAAAAAAGAGGAAAAAAAAGGAAAAUUUCACCCUUUUAUUUGAAUGAACUCAGACAUAGAAAAGAUACAAAAACCAGAACAUCUUUUGUCAUCUGUUUUAACUUUUAAUCAUUUAAUCAUUAACACAUGCUUUCAAGCUGAGCACUUUAUUAGGAACACCUGAACACCUGCUUAUUAAUGCAAUUAUCCAAUCAACCAAUCAUGUGGCAGCAGUUCACUGCAGAGACAGGUCAGGAGCAGGUCAGGAGCUUCAUGUUCACAUCAGAAAUGUGGCCUCACAGCAACAAGGUUCUGGGUUUGAACCCUGGUUCACCUGAAUGUGAGUGUGAAUGGUUGUUGUCUCUAUAUGUCAGCCCUGUGAUAGACUGGUACCCUGCCUCUCGGCUUUAGGAUGAGAGGUAUAGAUGAUGGAUGGAUGUAGUUUGACACUAAAGACGUCUCCAUCUUAUGGUAAGGAUGUUUUUGACGGUAAAUUCAGUCUGUUACUGGUUGUUAAUGAUGUUACCAACAACUCACCCUUGAGAAACCUCUAAAGUCACAUGCUAAGAUUUUUUUUAAUUUAAAGAAUGAGCGCUGAGAAUCUCUUAAUCCAGAUAUUUAGUUUAUUCUCAGAUUCCAGUUUACAGACGACUAACUUUGAAAUAUCAGAAAUGAAAAUGACAACUAAAGUUUUUGUGUGUUACUUUACAUUUAGGAUGAAGCUGUUCAUUUCUGUUUUUGAGUUUGUGUUAACUGCUGCUUGUGUGUGUGUGUGUGUGUGUGUGUGUGUGUGUGUGUGUGUGUGUGUGUGUGUGUGUGUGUGUGUGUGUGUGUGAGAGAUGUCGUCUUGUUUGCAUUAGCAGCUGCAGGGGCCUGGUGAAGAUGCAAAGUCCAUGACGGUUGACUUGCUCCAGACCCAGGCCAGUUUACAUAACUGAAGCACUACACUGCCCAGGAAACCUGCCGUUAAAUCACAGGAAGAGGUGAUGAAGAGAAGAGUGAUGAGGAGGUGAACCCAAGUCAGCCAGAACCAGCUUCUCAGAGACGGGUCCAAUGGUCCAGCAGCUGGCUGCUGGCAGGCUGAGGCCUGAAAGCUGCAGCUACACAGAUAGAGUGACAGACAGUUUGUUCCUUCAUCAUACACAGAUUCAGAGCCAGAGAGACAGAGACCGUCACAGGUGGUGAUGGUGUGAAUCCAGAGCUGGCGUCAGACCCUCAGAGACCCUCAUGUUAUCAGAGAGGUCAGUCCAUGUCGGAGGCAUGGCAUCUAUGAGAGGAGAGGAUGAAAUCCAGAGACCAUCAACAAAGACACACAGAUGGUGCUGAGGCCUUGCUGGAUUUCCAUGAGUCAGCUGAGAACCCAGCGCCACUGAGAUGUUACACAUUGACAAGGUUUACUCGUUCAGCUGCUGCAGCCUGGACAGAAACACCAGCUCUACCUUACAAACCAAACAGGUGUCACCACUUCGUCCAUGAUCACAGAGUGUCUUCGUAUGAUGAACUUGUUCUUUGAAAUCAGGAAUGAAGCGUCCAGAAUUCAAACUUGAACCAUUAAAUCACAGAGAGAAGAGAUGUGAAGACAUUUCCAGAAGGUCUUCAGCUGCUGUUGUCUUCUCCUCCUGCAGAGACAAGAACACGUGUUAAUCACAGAAACUGAUCAGUAAACCAAAAUAUUUUUUAUGACAUAGUACUCUGACAUUUUUUGAUGUUUUUAUGCCUUACUAUUACUGUGAUGAUUUCUGUCAGUUUUUGACACCUUACUGUACUGUGACAUGCACCUUAAGACAAAGGAAAAUAGCCAUCUUACCUUUGUAUUCCACAGACACAGGUUAGAUUUUCAUUUUGGUAUUUUGCUAUUUCAAACAGUACAAUAUCACUACCCAGAUCCAAUCAUUUACUGUAUACAUAGUCCUGUUUAUACUGUGUAUAAGUUUUACAUAUUGUUAUACAUCUUGUCUUGUAUAAUGCGGUUUUCUAUUUUUGCUGUUGCAACACUGAAUUUCCCAGUUGUGGGACUGAUGGAUUGUUUAACUCAAAUAAAUACUUCU